AUUGAACGCUAGCGGGAUGCCUUACACAUGCAAGUCGAACGGCAGCGCGGACUUCGGUCUGGCGGCGAGUGGCGAACGGGUGAGUAAUGUAUCGGAACGUGCCCAGUAGCGGGGGAUAACUACUCGAAAGAGUAGCUAAUACCGCAUACGCCCUACGGGGGAAAGGGGGGGGAUCGCAAGACCUCUCACUAUUGGAGCGGCCGAUAUCGGAUUAGCUAGUUGGUGAGGUAAAGGCUCACCAAGGCGACGAUCCGUAGCUGGUUUGAGAGGACGACCAGCCACACUGGGACUGAGACACGGCCCAGACUCCUACGGGAGGCAGCAGUGGGAAAUUUUGGACAAUGGGGGAAACCCUGAUCCAGCCAUUCCGCGUGUGCGAUGAAGGCCUUCGGGUUGUAAAGCACUUUUGGCAGGAAAGAAAUCGCAUCAAUUAAUACUUGGUGUGGAUGACGGUACCUGCAGAAUAAGCACCGGCUAACUACGUGCCAGCCGCCGCGGUAA
This 501-nucleotide ribosomal RNA is filed under the name uncultured bacterium. RNAcentral describes it as "partial 16S ribosomal RNA". It matches the Rfam family "Bacterial small subunit ribosomal RNA", at positions 30 to 523 of the family's 1533-position model. The record is from RNAcentral.